This 508-nucleotide ribosomal RNA is filed under the name uncultured bacterium. RNAcentral describes it as "partial 16S ribosomal RNA". It matches the Rfam family "Bacterial small subunit ribosomal RNA", at positions 28 to 523 of the family's 1533-position model. The record is from RNAcentral.
GAUGAACGCUAGCUACAGGCUUAACACAUGCAAGUCGAGGGGAAACGAUAUUGGAAGCUUGCUUCCGAUAGGCGUCGACCGGCGCACGGGUGAGUAACGCGUAUCCAAACUGCCCACCACUUGGGGAUAACCUUGCGAAAGUAAGACUAAUACCCAAUGAUAUCUCUAGAAGACAUCUGAAAGUGAUUAAAGAUUUAUCGGUGAUGGAUGGGGAUGCGUCUGAUUAGCUUGUUGGCGGGGUAACGGCCCACCAAGGCGACGAUCAGUAGGGGUUCUGAGAGGAAGGUCCCCCACAUUGGAACUGAGACACGGUCCAAACUCCUACGGGAGGCAGCAGUGAGGAAUAUUGGUCAAUGGACGAGAGUCUGAACCAGCCAAGUAGCGUGCAGGAUGACGGCCCUAUGGGUUGUAAACUGCUUUUAUAAGGGAAUAAAGUGAGCCUCGUGAGGCUUUUUGCAUGUACCUUAUGAAUAAGGACCGGCUAAUUCCGUGCCAGCCGCCGCAGUAA